Molecule: ribosomal RNA, 823 nt
Filed under: uncultured organism
Description: bacterial SSU rRNA
Rfam family: Bacterial small subunit ribosomal RNA
Source: RNAcentral
CUUGAGGACUGGAGGGGAGACUGGAAUUCACGGUGUAGCAGUGAAAUGCGUAGAUAUCGUGAGGAAGACCGGUGGCGAAGGCGAGUCUCUGGACAGAUCCUGACGCUGAGGCACGAAGGCUGGGGGAGCGAACAGGAUUAGAUACCCUGGUAGUCCCAGCAGUAAACGAUGUGAGCUUGAUGUGGGGGGAUUCGACCCCUUCCGUGUCGAAGCUAACGCGAUAAGCUCACCGCCUGAGGAGUACGGCCGCAAGGCUAAAACUCAAAGAAAUUGACGGGGACCCGCACAAGCGGUGGAGUAUGUGGCUUAAUUCGAUGCAACGCGAAGAACCUUACCUGGCCUUGACAUGCAUUGUGUCGUCGGUGAAAGCCGGCUAGUCCUGGAAACAGGACGCUUUGCACAGGUGCUGCAUGGCUGUCGUCAGCUCGUGUCGUGAGAUGUUGGGUUAAGUCCCGCAACGAGCGCAACCCUUGUGGUCAGUUACUAACCGGCUUAGCCGGAGGACUCUGGCCAGACGGCCCUGUCAAACGGGGAGGAAGGUGGGGACGACGUCAAGUCAGUAUGGCCCUUAUGGCCAGGGCUGCACACGUACUACAAUGCCCGGUACAAUGUGAACCGAAACCGCGAGGUGGAGGAAAUCGCUCUUGAAAACCGGGCCCAGUCCGGAUUGGAGUCUGCAACUCGACUCCAUGAAGUCGGAAUCGCUAGUAAUGGCGUAUCAGCAACGACGCCGUGAAUACGUUCCCGGGUCUUGUACACACCGCCCGUCACAUCAUGGAAGUCUCCUGUACCCGAAGCACGUGCGCCACCUUUUAGGAGCAGC